UGAGGAAUAUUGGUCAAUGGGCGCUAGCCUGAACCAGCCAAGUAGCGUGCAGGACGACGGCCCUAUGGGUUGUAAACUGCUUUUAUGCGGGGAUAAAGUCACCCACGUGUGGGUGUUUGCAGGUAUCGCAUGAAUAAGGACCGGCUAAUUCCGUGCCAGCAGCCGCGGUAAUACGGAAGGUCCGGGCGUUAUCCGGAUUUAUUGGGUUUAAAGGGAGCGUAGGCUGUUUGUUAAGCGUGUUGUGAAAUGUAAGAGCUCAACUUUUAGAUUGCAGCGCGAACUGGCAGACUUGAGUGCGCACAACGUAGGCGGAAUUCAUGGUGUAGCGGUGAAAUGCUUAGAUAUCAUGACGAACUCCGAUUGCGAAGGCAGCUUACGGGAGCGCAACUGACGCUAAAGCUCGAAGGUGCGGGUAUCGAACAGG
This 424-nucleotide ribosomal RNA is filed under the name Verrucomicrobiota bacterium. RNAcentral describes it as "Verrucomicrobia bacterium partial 16S ribosomal RNA". It matches the Rfam family "Bacterial small subunit ribosomal RNA", at positions 355 to 776 of the family's 1533-position model. The record is from RNAcentral. Lineage: Bacteria; Pseudomonadati; Verrucomicrobiota.